GCAGCGUAUGCCAUCAAAGUUACCCGGGCGUACAAAUAUACGAAGCUCAAUAUACCCAUCAUGACUAUUACCCGUCUGAUAAUGGUACACCAGACACGUGCAUCACAACUAUAUGUGCGUGACAUGGUGAUCUCAUUUCAAGAUAAACAGCGCAAGACCUUGAAGGUGAGACCCAGUUAGAAUUCUCAUCAGAACAUGUAGCCUAUCCCGCUCAAGAGAUCCCUGAAUAAGGGC
Long non-coding RNA from Octopus sinensis (East Asian common octopus), 234 nucleotides. RefSeq lists it as uncharacterized. The record is from RefSeq and is a predicted model, not a curated record. Lineage: Eukaryota; Metazoa; Mollusca; Cephalopoda; Octopoda; Octopodidae. The transcript has 3 exons.